Molecule: ribosomal RNA, 301 nt
Filed under: uncultured bacterium
Lineage: Bacteria
Description: partial 16S ribosomal RNA
Rfam family: Bacterial small subunit ribosomal RNA
Source: RNAcentral
CAGUCGCCGCGGGAAAACGUAGGUGGCAAGCGUUGUCCGGAAUUAUUGGGCGUAAAGGGCUCGCAGGCGGUUUCUUAAGUCUGAUGUGAAAGCCCCCGGCUCAACCGGGGAGGGUCAUUGGAAACUGGGAAACUUGAGUGCAGAAGAGGAGAGUGGAAUUCCACGUGUAGCGGUGAAAUGCGUAGAGAUGUGGAGGAACACCAGUGGCGAAGGCGACUCUCUGGUCUGUAACUGACGCUGAGGAGCGAAAGCGUGGGGAGCGAACAGGAUUAGAUACCCCUGUAGUCCCUGUCUCUUAUAU